Molecule: ribosomal RNA, 378 nt
Filed under: uncultured eukaryote
Lineage: Eukaryota
Description: partial 18S ribosomal RNA
Rfam family: Eukaryotic small subunit ribosomal RNA
Source: RNAcentral
CAAUAGCGUAUAUUUAAGUUGUUGCAGUUAAAAAGCUCGUAGUUGGAUUUCGGGUGUGAACGACCGGUCCGUCUUUGAUGUGUACUGGUUGGUUGCGCCUUAUUGUCGAGGACGUGGUUCUAGCUUUCAUUAGCCGGGACACGGAGUCGGCAGCGUUACUUUGAGAAAAUUAGAGUGUUCAAAGCAGGCUAUCGCUCUGAAUACUACAGCAUGGAAUAACACGAUAGGACUCCGAGCCUAUUCUGUUGGUCUUCGGGACCGGAGUAAUGAUUAAGAGGGACAGUUGGGGGCAUUCGUAUUCCGAUGUCAGAGGUGAAAUUCUUGGAUUAUCGGAAGACGAGCAUCUGCGAAAGCAUUUGCCAAGGAUGUUUUCAUUAA